This 89-nucleotide Y RNA is filed under the name Microcebus murinus (gray mouse lemur). Its description in RNAcentral is "Y RNA (ENSMICG00000020523.3)". It matches the Rfam family "Y RNA". Rfam says of the family: Y RNAs are components of the Ro ribonucleoprotein particle (Ro RNP), in association with Ro60 and La proteins. The Y RNAs and Ro60 and La proteins are well conserved, but the function of the Ro RNP is not known. Lineage: Eukaryota; Metazoa; Chordata; Mammalia; Primates; Cheirogaleidae. The record is from Rfam by way of RNAcentral.
GGCUGGUCCCAGUGCAGUAGUGUUUACAACUAAUUGAUGACAAUCAUUGUUCCUUCUCCACGCCUACUGCUUCACCUAACUAGCCUUUA